AAGUGUGUUGUGAAAUGUAGACGCUCAACGUCUGACUUGCAGCGCAUACUGGUUUCCUUGAGUACGCACAACGUUGGCGGAAUUCGUCGUGUAGCGGUGAAAUGCUUAGAUAUGACGAAGAACUCCGAUUGCGAAGGCAGCUGACGGGAGCGCAACUGACGCUGAAGCUCGAAGGUGCGGGUAUCGAACAGGAUUAGAUACCCUGGUAGUCCGCACAGUAAACGAUGGAUGCCCGCUGUUGGUACCUGGUAUCAGCGGCUAAGCGAAAGCAUUAAGCAUCCCACCUGGGGAGUACGCCGGCAACGGUGAAACUCAAAGGAAUUGACGGGGACCCGCACAAGCGGAGGAACAUGUGGUUUAAUUCGAUGAUACGC
This 374-nucleotide ribosomal RNA is filed under the name uncultured bacterium. Its description in RNAcentral is "bacterial SSU rRNA". It matches the Rfam family "Bacterial small subunit ribosomal RNA", at positions 585 to 962 of the family's 1533-position model. The record is from RNAcentral.